CCCCGGGGAAACUCGGGACAAUACCGCAUAUGGUUUCCUGGGCUCGGGCCCGGGAGAGCAAAGCCGGGGAUCGCAAGACCUGGCGCAUUCCGAGGGGACCGCGGCCGAUUAGCUAGUUGGCGGGGUAAUGGCCCACCAAGGCAACGAUCGGUAGCCGGCCUGAGAGGGUGAUCGGCCACACCGGAACUGAGACACGGUCCGGACUCCUACGGGAGGCAGCAGUGGGGAAUUUUGCGCAAUGGGCGAAAGCCUGACGCAGCAACGCCGCGUGGAGGAUGAAGGUUCUCUGAAUCGUAAACUCCUGUCGGCCGGGAAGAAUGGUCGGGACGCUAAUCAAUCCCGAUUUGACUGUACCGGCAAAGGAAGCCCCGGCUAACUCCGUGCCAGCAGCCGCGGUAAUCGGGGGGGGCAAGCGUUACUCGGAAUUAUUGGGCGUAAAGGGCGCGUA
Molecule: ribosomal RNA, 448 nt
Filed under: uncultured bacterium
Lineage: Bacteria
Description: bacterial SSU rRNA
Rfam family: Bacterial small subunit ribosomal RNA
Source: RNAcentral